AUUGAACGCUGGCGGCAUGCCUUACACAUGCAAGUCGAACGGCAGCACGGGAGCAAUCCUGGUGGCGAGUGGCGAACGGGUGAGUAAAGUAUCGGAACGUGCCCAGUCGUGGGGGAUAACGUAGCGAAAGUUACGCUAAUACCGCAUACGAUCUAUGGAUGAAAGCGGGGGAUCGCAAGACCUCGCGCGAUUGGAGCGGCCGAUAUCAGAUUAGGUAGUUGGUGGGGUAAAGGCUCACCAAGCCGGCGAUCUGUAGCUGGUCUGAGAGGACGACCAGCCACACUGGGACUGAGAAACGGCCCAGACUCCUACGGGAGGAAGCAGUGGGGAAUUUUGGACAAUGGGCGCAAGCCUGAUCCAGCCAUGCCGCGUGCAGGAUGAAGGCCUUCGGGUUGUAAACUGCUUUUGUACGGAACGAAAAGGUUUGGCCUAAUAAGCUGAGCUCAUGACGGUACCGUAAGAAUAAGCACCGGCUAACUACGUGCCAGCAGCCGCCGUAA
This 500-nucleotide ribosomal RNA is filed under the name uncultured bacterium. Its description in RNAcentral is "partial 16S ribosomal RNA". It matches the Rfam family "Bacterial small subunit ribosomal RNA", at positions 30 to 523 of the family's 1533-position model. The record is from RNAcentral.